RNAcentral lists this long non-coding RNA (3805 nucleotides) under Mytilus galloprovincialis (Mediterranean mussel). Lineage: Eukaryota; Metazoa; Mollusca; Bivalvia; Mytilida; Mytilidae. The record is from RNAcentral.
UUCUAUUUUAUUCUAUAUUGAAUAAGCAGGAUUCUAUAUUAGCUGCUCUGUGACAAAAUACAGAUAUUUCUAUUUAGGAUUAUGCCAUUAAACAGAUAUACAAAACAAUGUAUACAUAUUAUUUAUAUAUUCUAGUACAAUAACUAUGUACAUGAUCAUACACAAAACUCAUAUAAUUUGAAAAGUUUAAGGAUGUUCGCUGCUCAGUUUCAAAAUAAAUAACUUUUCAUAAAACUAGUAUGCAUUGAUAGGGAAUAAAUUGAGGAAUCAAAAAAGCAAAAAAAAUAUAGGGGAUAAUGUGCUUGUUUUCGAGAUAUUAGCCAUUGGAAUUUUGGCGGGAAAAUGUUCUCUCUUGACUUUUCAUAGCUUUAUCAUUGACCAGUUAAAGUUCUCAAAUACUAUUAAAAAAUAAAUAAAAUUUUAUAAGACUUUUACAAAUGACUUAUAAUUAUACAUAUAAAAGAUUUAUAAAAAGAAAAAUGGGGGUUCAUGGGGAAUUUUUCUAUGGCAUUCAAAUGGAUAAAACCAGAGGAUUCCGAAAAUCUGACAAAAAUUCCAAAACAUGACAAGCAGACAUCCUUAAGUGCAUUUUAUUAAGCUUCAGGAAUAUGUUUUUCAACUGAGAAUAGUGAAAGAAGUAAAGUUUUUUUCAAAUUAAAAAAUCAAAAUCAAAAGAGAAAAUGUGUAUGAACCUUGUUAUCUUUCUUUUUAUCUUUUAAAAAACAAAUUACAUACUUUUUUUAAGUUGGCAGUUCCUAAUAUUAAACAGAGUUUAAUUUUUGAGGUUGUUUGAGUAAAAACAUUUUAAAUGGAACUAUUAAUAUUCAAUGUAACCUCAUAUGAGUAUUCUUAUCUCUCUACAGAUCUUAUAAUAUGCUAAAUAAGCUGAAAUUAGCAAAAAAUAUUAUUUAAUGGACAGUUAUCCUAGCAUACUACUAAAUAAAAGAAAAUAAAUAUUGUAAAAAUAAAAAAAAAAUGGUAUUAAAAAUAGUCGAAUAUUAAACCAGCCCACGAUAUAUAAAAUAUAAAAAUAAAUAUUUAUAGUCCAAUUUUUUCAAGAUUUGUGUGGAACAGUAUUUCUGUUUAACUUGCAAUUUUUAAACCUGUUUUUUGUUUAAAUAUACAUACAUUCAAUUAUUUCUUAGUCGCACUAUUACCAAACAAAAAUUGUCCCUCUUUUCUUUUUUAUAACCCCAAAAAAAGCUUAAGAUGAAAUAAUUGCAUGAUUAAAGUUAAAGCUUUCCAAAUUAAUGCUAAACAUAAAAUAUUAUAAACAAACAAAAACAUUAAAAAAAAGUACCAAUAACUACUGAAAAUGAAAUGUUAUCACAAAAAUUGUAUGACUAAACUAGGGAUAUGUAUUCAUGUAAUUAAACACUGCAAUUCAUGAAAAUCUUUAUUCUCAAGUUACCAGUUUAAGUGAAACUGUUUGCAAAAAGAUUCUGUUCAACUUAGCUUUCCACUAUAGGUUAUUAGGAUAUGAUAUAUCAAAAUUCUAUUUUAAGCAUUUUAACUUGACAAUCAGUGCAGCCAUGUGCAAUUUUUUUUAUUUGUUAACUAAUUUUUUUUAAACAACAUUUAACAUUAUUUGAAAAAUUAUAAAUAACAAAGUAUAGACACUAAAUAUUUGUACACUCAAAUAUUGUUUUAUUAAUAAAAUACUUAGCAUUUAUCAUCAUUAGAGUUGUAACUAAUUACCCAAAUACUAAAAUUAAAGAUUUUUGUUUUAUUUAAAUUAGAAGAUAAGAAAAAAAAAGAGGCUACACUGAAAAAAAAUACAGAACAGAAAAUUAAACUAUUUGAAAAACUAUAUCAGCCAGUAAAAAACACAUUACACUAAUGAUUUAUACAACAUAAUCAUAUCUAUAAACAUAUGAAACAUUUAUAAAAUGUGUAAUAACAACAUAUGAGAUGAUAAACAAAUUUAAUAAAACAUUAAAAUUAUAUCUUUAGCAAAACCCUGAAUGAAACAAUGGAAUAAUCACACCAACAACAAAAUUAGAUAUGAAAUAGGACAAAAGCAGAAAUAUGAUGUCAAAGGCAAAGUUUACACAAUAGUUUGUGCAAAAAUAAUUCAUGCAAGAAUUUUUAUUUUAGUUUUAUUAUAAACUGUAUUUAAUUUUAAAAGUUUUAACCUUUUGAAAAACUGUACAUGGCCUGGAAAGAUAUUUGGAUAUUUAUUAAAGGUUUGUAAUUGUGUAUAAUAUGAAUUUCAAAACUUAUUGUUAGUUGACAAUAUUAUUUGCAACAUUUUUACUUCUUCCCAAAGAAAAAAAAUCAUGAAAGUCUCCACUGGUGUCUCAAAAAUAUAUACAUGAUAAAUACAUUACAUUCAAAAUGAAACACAUGACAUUCAUUGUAUUUUUACUUUGUGAUUUAUAUACCGAAACCUGUUUAGUGCCACAUAUUUACAGAAAGUAAAAUUGAAACCCAAAUACAAGGAAAACUAUAAAAAAAAAAUUGAAAGGUCUUUAAAAUCAAUGACAAGCAAUAUUUUAAAUUCUUUAUUUUAAUAUAUAUACUAAUCAAGUGAAUCAAAUUCAAAGUAAAUAAUACAUGAAAAAAUCCCUAUGGCAUUCUGUAGUAACCUUAAUGACCACUAUCAGCCCUCUAACUUAUUUUAGUAACACGGUUAAGAUGGUUAAUAUAAGAAUUUUUUUAAACUAUCCACUUAUUUCCCUUUUAAGAGCUUUUUAUUUCAAUUCAUUUAAAAAAAACAGUAUCAAUUAAAAAAAAAACCUGUUUGAGAGCCAAAUCCCAAAAUUUUAUUUCUUAGUUAUUUAAACAUUUAAAUCUUCUUUCCUUAAAUUCGUUUAAUCUAAGCCCUUUGAGAUUUUUACUUUUUUCUCAGAUUCUACAUAUUUUGUUGACCAAUAAACAAACUGUUAUAAUUAUCCUCUUUCUGACAAGAUAAAAUUCUAAAAAAGCUAGAAAUCACCCAUAUCUAUCAAUGGUUUUACCACAAUGAUGUCAUCAAGGAUUAGACAAUGUUUUAUCAUAAGAAAUGAUGGGAGAAAUGUGAUCGCUGCAUUAAGUAUACAAACUAUGCGUUAUCUGUGACAUGAAUACACCCAUACUGCAGUAAUAAAUUAACAUCAAAUAUACAUAUAAUGAUACACAGUAUAUAAAAACUAUCCAUUAUAACACUAAACAAUAUUAAUUAGUAUAUUUUUUUGUCUUCUAAAAUCAUAUCUUACUUUUACACUGCAUUUAAAAAUACCACUGAAAGAAAAUCUGCCUUAGCAUUAUUUGACUUGUUUUUUGGAGGCAAGAGUUAAUAAUUUUUCCAAUUUCUAUAAUGGACUGUCAGGUGCUUUAUGAAGGUAGAUAUAGCCUAGAUAAUGAAAUGUCAAAAACACCUCUCUAAGCGUAAUGUCCUAAUACCAUCAAAUGAGCCUCAGUAUAUAUAUGUUAUCAUAAGUUGUAAAAUGAUGUAAAUUUGAGCUUCUGUUAGCUUCAAAUUGAGAAAUAUGUUCAAAAAACAAGAUUACCAAUUUUGUCAUGUGGGAUCACCUAUUCUCAACCUCUUAUCAAACUAAAUUUUAUGUAGCUCAACAUACAAUGUCAGUCAAAUAGACAUUUUUUUUAUCAAUUUGUAGGAGUAGUCAAUGGUAUUUUUAAGCAUGAAGUAUUUCCCGGUUUCAAUCUUGAGGUUCAUUAUGCAUUAUUUUCUUGAAAUUAUAUCUUAUUGUUUUGUAAUUGUAAUAAAUUAUGUAAAUGCUUUCUAAAAUGUGAUUUAUUUCAAAAUACUUUUUUAUUGACUGAAGUCAAAAAAUUCUAUAUCAUUUAAUCUGCAACCAAAAAU